AUGGCAGCUUCGAGAGCGCUCGUCCUCGGCGUCCUGCUGGCGAUCACGGUCGCCAACGCCGAGGCGGCGUCCGUCGUGGUCGGCCUGGCCAAGUGCGCCGACUGCACCAGGAAGAACAUCAAGGCCGAGGAAGCCUUCAAGGGUCUUCAGGUGGCGAUCAAGUGCAAGAACAACGCCGGAGACUACGAGAGCAAGGCCGUGGGUGCGCUUGACGGUACCGGUGCCUUCAGCGUGCCCCUCGCCGCCGACCUCCACGGCGCCGACUGUGUCGCACAGCUGCACAGCGCCGCCUCCAACGCGCCAUGCCCCGGCCAGGAGCCAUCCAAGAUCGUGCCGGUGUCGGAGGGCACUACCUUCGGCAUCGUCGCCGGCAACAACAUUGCCACGCCGUCUGCUGCACCGUCGCCGGAGUGCGCAUCCAUGACCCUGUGCGGGCCGAUCAAGAAGCACAUCAUCGAACACUUCCACCACAAGAAGCCUGUGCCACCCAAGCCGGAGCCCAAGCCGGAGCCCCACCCUGACUACGGCCCCGUGCCCAAGCCGGAGCCCAAGCCGCAGCCCCACCCCGACUACCACCCCGUCCCUCCCACGCCUACAUACGGUGGCGGCGGUGGUGGAUACCACGGUCAUCACUGA
Molecule: ribosomal RNA, 636 nt
Filed under: Triticum aestivum (bread wheat)
Lineage: Eukaryota; Viridiplantae; Streptophyta; Magnoliopsida; Poales; Poaceae
Description: partial small subunit ribosomal RNA
Source: RNAcentral